RNAcentral lists this ribosomal RNA (646 nucleotides) under Oceanobacillus sp. RNAcentral's name for it is "bacterial SSU rRNA". It matches the Rfam family "Bacterial small subunit ribosomal RNA", at positions 83 to 714 of the family's 1533-position model. Lineage: Bacteria; Bacillati; Bacillota; Bacilli; Caryophanales; Bacillaceae. The record is from RNAcentral.
UUCGUGGAACGAGCGGCGGACGGGUGAGUAACACGUAGGCAACCUGCCUGUAAGACUGGGAUAACUCGCGGAAACGCGAGCUAAUACCGGAUAAUACUUAUUAUCUCCUGAUGGUAAGUUGAAAGGCGGCUUUUGCUGUCACUUACAGAUGGGCCUGCGGCGCAUUAGCUAGUUGGUGGGGUAAUGGCUCACCAAGGCGACGAUGCGUAGCCGACCUGAGAGGGUGAUCGGCCACACUGGGACUGAGACACGGCCCAGACUCCUACGGGAGGCAGCAGUAGGGAAUCUUCCGCAAUGGACGAAAGUCUGACGGAGCAACGCCGCGUGAGUGAUGAAGGUUUUCGGAUCGUAAAACUCUGUUGUCGGGGAAGAACAAGUAUGAUAGUAACUGAUCGUACCUUGACGGUACCCGACCAGAAAGCCACGGCUAACUACGUGCCAGCAGCCGCGGUAAUACGUAGGUGGCAAGCGUUGUCCGGAAUUAUUGGGCGUAAAGCGCUCGCAGGCGGUUCUUUUAAGUCUGAUGUGAAAUCUUGCGGCUCAACCGUAAACGUGCAUUGGAAACUGGAGGACUUGAGUGCAGAAGAGGAGAGUGGAAUUCCACGUGUAGCGGUGAAAUGCGUAGAGAUGUGGAGGAACACCAGUG